UACGGGAGGCAGCAGUGGGGAAUAUUGCACAAUGGGCGAAAGCCUGAUGCAGCGACGCCGCGUGAGCGAUGAAGUAUUUCGGUAUGUAAAGCUCUAUCAGCAGGGAAGAUAAUGACGGUACCUGACUAAGAAGCUCCGGCUAAAUACGUGCCAGCAGCCGCGGUAAU
RNAcentral lists this ribosomal RNA (167 nucleotides) under uncultured rumen bacterium. RNAcentral's name for it is "partial 16S ribosomal RNA". It matches the Rfam family "Bacterial small subunit ribosomal RNA", at positions 340 to 524 of the family's 1533-position model. The record is from RNAcentral.